Long non-coding RNA from Salvelinus namaycush (lake trout), 445 nucleotides. RefSeq lists it as uncharacterized. NCBI's taxonomy places the organism in Eukaryota, Metazoa, Chordata, Actinopteri, Salmoniformes, Salmonidae. The transcript has 3 exons. The record is from RefSeq and is a predicted model, not a curated record.
CAAGAGCAGGGUCCACAUGUACCAUCAGGUCCACAUACACAUGGGACAGUGGAGUGUACUGGUGUGAGUCUGGAUCAGGAGAGUACAGUAAUGCUGUCAACAUCACAGUGGAUGUUGGCCCUCUGAUCCUGGAGAGCCCUCCCUAUCCCAUAACUGAGGGAGAAUCUAUGACUCUCAGCUGUACAAAUAGAUAUCAGGAAACAAACCCGAACCCCAAGGUUGAUUUCUACAAAGAUGGAAUAUUCAUCAGGAAUGAUACCACAUUAGAGAUGACCAUCCCUGCAGUUUCCAAGUCAGAUGAAGGCUCCUACAAGUGUAAAUCUAAUGAAGGAGAAUCACCAGAGAGCUGGGUGACAGUGAGAGGUGUAACUCCUGGACCCUCUAGAUCAGUCCUAGUAGGAGUGGUUGUGGGCCUGGUUGUUGCUGGUGUUCUACUGGCCAUUCU